AACCCCAAAUGUUAUUGUGUUUUUGAUUGAGUGUAAUUUUAAAAAUUGGUAACCAAUUUAGGAUAUUUUAAAGAAAUUAUUGAUAAAAAAAAAUCAAACUAAUAUACUGACCAAAAAUUGUUGACACAUUUUAAUAAGUAAUCAAUUUUAGAUUCUUUUGCAUAUCUAUCAAGACUUGACUAUAUUUUUCAAUUAUUUUUCAAUUAAUUCUUUUAAUUAUUUGGUUAUUUUUCUCAAUUCAAAUAUUAUUAUUUUGGUAAUAUUUUAUUCAAACAUAACAUUUGAUAAAUUGUUUUUUGACUUUGUGGGCUUAAACAUUUUUUAAAUUGUAUAUAAAUUCGUUCAUCUGAUCCAACAAAUUAUCACAAAACCAAAAAUCAUAUAUAUAAUCUGAUAAAUAUGAGUAAUUCGGUUUUUAUAGUUUCUAUCGUUUUAAUGACUAUAGUUUCCCCAAUUUUCAAUGCUAAAAUGGUGUAUAGUAUCACUUGUGGAAUGGCGAAAGAUUCGAUGAGACCUUGUUUGGUCUUGGCACCAGGUCAGGUGCCAACAAGACCUUGUUGUGAUGCUCUUCAAGCCAUAGAGUUCCAAGCAACGACGAAACAGAUUCGACAAUUUUAUUGCAACUGCUUUAAAAAUGUUAUCCAUUCAUCUCCAUAUGUAAAACUUAUACCCUUGCCUGAACUCUGUCGGAUUCCUAUAACUGGGAUUUUAACCCCACCUCAUGGUUGUGAUAGCAUCCAAGUCUGAAGCAAAGAAGAAGAAGAAUAUGCAAGGAGCAAGAAGAUUAAUGCGAUUACUAAUGUAUCAAAAUAUUUUCCAAAAAUAAGAUAACAUUCCGUCUUUUUAAAUCA
Brassica napus (rape) is the source of this 851-nucleotide long non-coding RNA. RefSeq lists it as uncharacterized. The record is from RefSeq and is a predicted model, not a curated record. NCBI's taxonomy places the organism in Eukaryota, Viridiplantae, Streptophyta, Magnoliopsida, Brassicales, Brassicaceae. The transcript has 2 exons.